GAGGAUGUAGCUUAAGUGGUAGAGCUCAUGCUUAGCAUGCAUGAGGUCCGGGGUUCAAUCCCCAGUACUCUCU
RNAcentral lists this transfer RNA (73 nucleotides) under Camelus bactrianus (Bactrian camel). It matches the Rfam family "tRNA". From Rfam's summary of the family: Transfer RNA (tRNA) molecules are approximately 80 nucleotides in length. Their secondary structure includes four short double-helical elements and three loops (D, anti-codon, and T loops). The record is from Rfam by way of RNAcentral. RNAcentral also lists the same sequence under 2 other names. Lineage: Eukaryota; Metazoa; Chordata; Mammalia; Artiodactyla; Camelidae.